GACGAACGCCGGCGGCGUGCUUAACACAUGCAAGUCGAACGGAAAGGCCCUGCUUUUGUGGGGUGCUCGAGUGGCGAACGGGUGAGUAACACGUGAGUAACCUGCCCUUGACUUUGGGAUAACUUCAGGAAACUGGGGCUAAUACCGGAUAGGAGCUCCUGCUGCAUGGUGGGGGUUGGAAAGUUUCGGCGGUUGGGUAUGGACUCGCGGCUUAUCAGCUUGUUGGUGGGGUAGUGGCUUACCAAGGCUUUGACGGGUAGCCGGCCUGAGAGGGUGACCGGCCACAUUGGGACUGAGAUACGGCCCAGACUGCUACGGGAGGCAGCAGUGGGGAAUAUUGCACAAUGGGCGGAAGCCUGAUGCAGCAACGCCGCGUGCGGGAUGACGGCCUUCGGGUUGUAAACCGCUUUCGCCUGUGACGAAGCGUGAGUGACGGUAAUGGGUAAAGAAGCACCGGCUAACUACGUG
This 468-nucleotide ribosomal RNA is filed under the name uncultured bacterium. RNAcentral describes it as "partial 16S ribosomal RNA". It matches the Rfam family "Bacterial small subunit ribosomal RNA", at positions 28 to 507 of the family's 1533-position model. The record is from RNAcentral.